Molecule: long non-coding RNA, 939 nt
Filed under: Monodelphis domestica (gray short-tailed opossum)
Lineage: Eukaryota; Metazoa; Chordata; Mammalia; Didelphimorphia; Didelphidae
Description: lncRNA (ENSMODG00000030910.2)
Source: RNAcentral
GCCUGGAAGACCUUUGAGCAGGGCAUUUACAAGAUCAGAUCUCUGCUUGGGAGAUUUGUCUGGCAGUAUAGCUGAGAAUGGAGUAGAGAGAAAGAGGCUGGAGUCAAUAAAUCUAGUUGGGAAGCUAUUGCAAUAAUCUCAAAGAAGAAAGGAUGGCCUGGAAUUGAAUGGUAGCUGGGAUAAUGGAAUCUGGGAACUGAAGGCAAAAUCUACUUGGCAACCUGUGGGGCUAUCUCAAACUGAGUUGUUUUUUUUGUCCUUCCCUCCAUCCACCAAAAGAAGUUCAACCAGAUUCUAAAUCUAAUCGUACCUCAAAAGAAAUUUGCAGGAAGCUGCUUUGGAAAUGGCCUCGAGUAUUAGACUAAAUCCCUCCAAGGCUUCAAUCUGGGAAUGGAGGAAUGGAAUUAAAUCUGUGGAACUGUCCAGCAUGAGCAAGGGUGGGAAGAUUGCUGUUGAAAGAAGCGUGGAGGAGCCCCCACUCGGUUUCCUGAGAUUCUGAACCUACCUUCUCCCUUCUUCUGUAAACCACUUCUCCUCCAACAGGAGAGAGAGGGGCCCUGGCUGGUGAGUGAGAGGCCUUCAAGCGGGCCUUUGUGAACAGCUAGGUUGAGAGCUGAUUUUCCUGGCCCGAAACAGUUGUGAAUGUUACCUGAGGGGAGGCGUCGUUGUUUGAGCCGGGAGUCGGAGAGUCGGUUGAGUGAGGAUGAUGGAGCUUAUGAUUAGCCGGCUUUCUGCUAACUAGCGUCCGCUUCACUAGGGCAGUGGCAUUUGGUGAUUUCAAAGCGUCGGUUUCUCUGGUAAAAUCCUCAAUCCCAGCGGAGGAUGGCCAGUUCCCACCCAGCUGGUACGGACCUGGAUUGUCCUAAUUUUCAUUUUCCCCCCCUUAUAGUCUGUUAAAUUGACUAAUAAACUCAACACAGGGUUCUCUGUGCGGCUUCA